GGAAGUUUUAGGGAACCUGGACUUCCACAGAAAAAAAAGAAAGACGUUUUGGAGGCGAGAGAUCCAAAAUCAAGUUGUCAGCUGGGCCAUUCACCCUCUAAAACUCUGGGAGGACUUCCGAGGUGGUGGCGCGGCUGAGAACCUAUCUGACAGAGCAGGGGACACAGAUUUGACCCCUGGUCCAAGAAGACUGCUCCACAUGCCGUGGAGCAACUAAGGCCGUGUGCCACAGCUGCUGAGCCCAAGCUCUAGAGCCUGUUCUCCACAAGGAGAGAAGCCACCGCGAUGAGAAGUCCAAGCAUUGGAAUUAGAGAACGCCUGAGCACAGCAGCGAAGAUCCAGCACA
Molecule: long non-coding RNA, 346 nt
Organism: Cervus elaphus (red deer)
Lineage: Eukaryota; Metazoa; Chordata; Mammalia; Artiodactyla; Cervidae
Exons: 3
Source: RefSeq, a predicted model, not a curated record